GAUGAACGCUAGCUACAGGCUUAACACAUGCAAGUCGAGGGGAAACGACAUCGAAAGCUUGCUUUUGAUGGGCGUCGACCGGCGCACGGGCGAGUAACGCGUAUCCAACCGGCCCAUCACUUGGGAAUAACCUUGCGAAAGUAAGACUAAUACCCAAUGAUAUCCCACGAAGGCAUCGGAAUGGGAUUAAAGAUUUAUCGGUGAUGGAUGGGGAUGCGUCUGAUUAGCUUGUUGGCGGGGAAACGGCCCACCAAGGCACCGAUCAGUAGGGGUUCUGAGAGGAAGGUCCCCCACAUUGGAACUGCGACACGGUCCACACUCCUACGGGAGGCAGCAGUGAGGAAUAUUGGUCACUGAGCGAGAGCCUGAACCAGCCAAGUAGCGUGCAGGAAGCCGGCCCUAUGAGUUGUAAACUGCUUUUAUGAGGGAAUAAAGUGGGUCACGUGUGACUUUUUGCAUGUACCUUAUGAAUAAGGACCGGCUAAUUCCGUG
This 492-nucleotide ribosomal RNA is filed under the name uncultured bacterium. RNAcentral describes it as "partial 16S ribosomal RNA". It matches the Rfam family "Bacterial small subunit ribosomal RNA", at positions 28 to 507 of the family's 1533-position model. The record is from RNAcentral.